UGUCAUGUCUGAAUUAGCAGGCACAGCAGGGUUAGCUUAGCUCUCUCCAGGAAUGCUACUUCAUUAGCUCCUAACACUGCUCAGUCACAAGACGGAGAGAUGAUAAAAAUCUGCCUCCCGAGAAUGACAAGGGUGCAGUCAUGAUCGUGGAGGAAGUGAGCAUUUGAGACGACAUCUCAGAAUGAUCGAGACAGCAGCAACAGCAGAGGAAAUAAUUACAUCAGCAGCAGAUGCAGCUGAGAUGGAGACUCCCAGGAGCAGCAGUGUUAUGAUAUCACUGCAGACAACAGUAACAAGUUCAAUAUUCACGCUCCGCCCUGCGACCAAAGAGCCGCUGCGCAGAUUCACGGAUACCCGACAAGAGAGGUCCCCUCCCCGGCCGGUGGACAGCGAAGAGGAAAGUCGGUGGGAGGGAUUCAUCUUGUGUUUUUAAUCUUUUCUCAGUGAUUUGAUGAAAAGAAACUCUUGCUUGUCCUUAAAAAUCAUGAGGAAUUAAAACUAUUUGUGACCGCC
Amphiprion ocellaris (clown anemonefish) is the source of this 513-nucleotide long non-coding RNA. RefSeq lists it as uncharacterized. Lineage: Eukaryota; Metazoa; Chordata; Actinopteri; Pomacentridae. The record is from RefSeq and is a predicted model, not a curated record. The transcript is spliced from 2 exons.